UUAGCUCCCUCUUAUAAGUGAGAACAUGUGGUAUUUGGUUUUCUGUUCCUGUCUUAGUUUGCUAAGGAUGGUAGCCUUUAGCUCUAUCCAUGUUACCACAGAAGACAUGAUCUCAUUCUUUUUUUAUGGCUGCAUAGUAUUCCAAUUGAUGUAAACUCUAACUUAUUUAA
Molecule: long non-coding RNA, 170 nt
Organism: Sapajus apella (tufted capuchin)
Lineage: Eukaryota; Metazoa; Chordata; Mammalia; Primates; Cebidae
Exons: 3
Source: RefSeq, a predicted model, not a curated record